GAUGAACGCUAGCGGGAGGCCUAACACAUGCAAGCCGAGCGGUAGAGUUUCUUCGGAAACUUGAGAGCGGCGCACGGGUGCGUAGCACGUGUGCAACCUACCUUUAUCUGGGGGAUAGCCUUUCGAAAGGAAGAUUAAUACCCCAUAAUAUAAUGAUUGGCAUCAAUUAUUAUUGAAAACUCCGGUGGAUAGAGAUGGGCACGCGCAAGAUUAGAUAGUUGGUGAGGUAACGGCUCACCAAGUCAAUGAUCUUUAGGGGUCCUGAGAGGGAGAUCCCCCACACUGGUACUGAGACACGGACCAGACUCCUACGGGAGGCAGCAGUGAGGAAUAUUGGACAAUGGGUGAGAGCCUGAUCCAGCCAUCCCGCGUGAAGGAUGACGGUCCUAUGGAUUGUAAACUUCUUUUGUACAGGGAUAAACCUACCCUCGUGAGGGUAGCUGAAGGUACUGUACGAAUAAGCACCGGCUAACUCCGUG
RNAcentral lists this ribosomal RNA (479 nucleotides) under uncultured bacterium. RNAcentral describes it as "partial 16S ribosomal RNA". It matches the Rfam family "Bacterial small subunit ribosomal RNA", at positions 28 to 507 of the family's 1533-position model. The record is from RNAcentral.